This 166-nucleotide small RNA is filed under the name Klebsiella pneumoniae. RNAcentral describes it as "RtT sRNA". The stretch from base 1 to 66 matches the Rfam family "tRNA". Lineage: Bacteria; Pseudomonadati; Pseudomonadota; Gammaproteobacteria; Enterobacterales; Enterobacteriaceae. The record is from RNAcentral.
UAGCUCAGUUGGUAGAGCAGUUGACUUUUAAUCAAUUGGUCGCAGGUUCGAAUCCUGCACGACCCACCAUCUUUAGCAUCGAACGUCGGUGUUAAACGUGAAGGAUAACGUUGCUUCAGCUACGGCCCGAAGGGCGAGCGAAGCGAGUCAUCCUGCACUCCAAUCA